GCAAGAGGAAAAAAGUAGAAAGAGGAAACAGAGGUUACUGAAAAAGCCUACGAAACGUAUUGGAAUCUGACUGAGGCUAAGUCAACAGAUGGCAGGGAUACGAUAGGAGAGGAGUUUCAAAAGAGGUACCAGUUGUUUGUGUGUGAUUCUCAGAAUCUGCCUGGACGUUCCUGCAGUUUUUUUGGAGAAGUUUUCUAAAACUGGUCUGCCAUCGCCUCUUCUUAAG
Ahaetulla prasina is the source of this 226-nucleotide long non-coding RNA. RefSeq lists it as uncharacterized. The record is from RefSeq and is a predicted model, not a curated record. NCBI's taxonomy places the organism in Eukaryota, Metazoa, Chordata, Lepidosauria, Squamata, Colubridae. The transcript is spliced from 3 exons.